CACAAGCGGAGGAGCAUGUGGUUUAAUUUCGAUGAUACGCGAGGAACCUUACCUGGGCUUAAAUGCUUAAUGACGGUACUGGGAAACUGGUAUUUCUUCGGACAUUUUGCAAGGUGCUGCAUGGUUGUCGUCAGCUCGUGCCGUGAGGUGUCGGGUUAAGUCCCAUAACGAGCGCAACCCCUAUUGUUAGUUGCCAUCAGGUCAUGCUGGGGACUCUAACAAAACUGCCCGCGUAAGCGUGGAGGAAGGUGGGGAUGACGUCAAAUCAGCACGGCCCUUACGUCCAGGGCUACACACGUGCUACAAUGGCCGGUACAGAGGGCAGCCACUUGGUGACAAGGAGCAAAUCUCAAAAGCCGGUCUCAGUUCGGAUCGGAGUCUGCAACUCGACUCCGUGAAGUUGGAUUCGCUAGUAAUCGUAGAUCAGCAAUGCUACGGUGAAUACGUUCCCGGGCCUU
RNAcentral lists this ribosomal RNA (458 nucleotides) under uncultured Bacteroidota bacterium. Its description in RNAcentral is "bacterial SSU rRNA". It matches the Rfam family "Bacterial small subunit ribosomal RNA", at positions 924 to 1382 of the family's 1533-position model. The record is from RNAcentral. Lineage: Bacteria; Pseudomonadati; Bacteroidota.